GUGGGGAAUAUUGGGCAAUGGGCGAAAGCCUGACCCAGCAACGCCGCGUGAAGGAAGAAGGCUUUCGGGUUGUAAACUUCUUUUGUCAGGGACGAAAAAAAUGACGGUACCUGACGAAUAAGCCACGGCUAACUACGUGCCAGCAGCCGCGGUAAUACGUAGGUGGCAAGCGUUAUCCGGAUUUACUGGGUGUAAAGGGCGUGUAGGCGGGAAAGCAAGUCAGAUGUGAAAACUAUGGGCUCAACCCAUAGCCUGCAUUUGAAACUGUUUUUCUUGAGUACUGGAGAGGCAGAUGGAAUUCCUAGUGUAGCGGUGAAAUGCGUAGAUAUUAGGAGGAACACCAGUGGCGAAGGCGAUCUGCUGGACAGCAACUGACGCUGAGGCGCGAAAGCGUGGGGAGCAAACAGGAUUAGAUACCCUUGUAGUCC
RNAcentral lists this ribosomal RNA (428 nucleotides) under uncultured bacterium. Its description in RNAcentral is "partial 16S ribosomal RNA". It matches the Rfam family "Bacterial small subunit ribosomal RNA", at positions 354 to 796 of the family's 1533-position model. The record is from RNAcentral.